UUAUUUGUAAGAAUUUAAUAAGUCAAAUAAGUAAAUUUAUAGUCGUGAGAAAUUGACAGAGAUAAAGCUCAUUAUCUCAUUAGAUCUCAUUAAUCGAAUUGGCCGAAUUUAAGUAGACCAUUACGAAAUGCGAAUGGCAUGAAUAGAAGAAGAAGAAUUCGCGAAGACAAAGCAUAAGAUUGGUUCAGUUAAUUAAAUAAAGCCUUAAAAUACUGGCUAAAGGUUGGAUGCAUUGAGAGUCUAUUCAUCUAUGAUAGGCUAUAUCGCCCAACGAGAGGAAUCACUGAACCUGCGUAGCAUUGGACUGCACCGCAAAUCCCCAGAGUCAACAUAAGAAAGCCGGAACAGGACGUUGCCUUGUGGCUUUGCUGUUUAGAUAGAGGCUCACAGCAGGUGCAUUGUGUUGUGGUCACCUGGCUAAGGUAUCUGCUUUUAAAAGUCUGCCUGCUAUCAAGUUAGUCGAUGUCGGUAGCACUCGGAAAUGGGUUUUCCCACUGACACAGCCAGGCAGACGCCUCUCUCUCUCCUCUCUCUCUCCCUCGCUCUUUGAGCAAUAAGCCACUUUGGAUCAUGAGCAACGACAAUGAUAUAUGUAUAGUAUAGAAAUGAUAUUUUUAUGUGUCAAGUCUGGAUAAAUUGAAUGAGCAAUGCAUCAGCUAAUGCUCGAUUCAUAUUUUUUUUAUUGUCAGCCGAAUUACAAAAUACAAAGUUA
Long non-coding RNA from Drosophila mojavensis, 712 nucleotides. RefSeq lists it as uncharacterized. The transcript has 3 exons. The record is from RefSeq and is a predicted model, not a curated record. NCBI's taxonomy places the organism in Eukaryota, Metazoa, Arthropoda, Insecta, Diptera, Drosophilidae.